UAUUAAUGUAAUAAAUGUAAUGUAAUGAAUUUCACCAAUGAACUUACCAAUAUAGAUUCAUCUUUGCAUACCUGUUAUAACUGUACUUAAUCAUACUAUUUUAAUGCAUUUUUUUAAAUUGGUGAAUUAAUAUUUUGUUUGCAUUGCAUUUAUUAAAUAGUUCUAUACAUCAUUUAGUAUAAUUCUAUGCAUUCGGGCUGAGGAUAUAGCUUAGUUGGUAGAAUGCUUGUCUCACAUGAACAAGGCCCUGGGUUCAUUCCCCAGCAGCACACACACAUACACACACACACACACACACAUACACACACACAGAUCUAUACAUUAGACCAUUAAGCAUCACUGCAAUGAAAUACCUGAGCAGACUAACCUCAAGCAAAGAGGCUUAUUUACUUACUGUUUGGGAAGUUUAAGGGCAUGGUGCCAGCAUUGGCUCAGCUCUGGUGAGGGACCUCUUCUCUGUGUCCCACAGUGGUAGGAUAGCAAUGUUCAGAGCACAUGCAUUAGCAAGCAGUCAUGUUCCCAAACAGGAAGCCAGAGUGGGGUGGGGACACUUUUUAAAACAAUCCUCCCAGAGAACUGUACAGGUAGUAUAGUAGAGCUACUUCACCCCAUCCGAAGGGGUGAUCCCAAGUCAAUUAAGGACUUCCUUCUAGGAUCCACUUUUUAAAAGGUAACCACUACUUGCCCAUAGUGUCCCUGAUGGACUAAGCUCUCAACAUAAGAAUCAUUGGAGGGCAGGCAACAUCCAAACCACAUCAUCCUCAUCUUUUAUAAGAAUUAAUCCCUGGAUCAUUUAAAUUUUCUGCCACUUUUUAACUUAUUAUGUCCACUUUCUCCAAAUGUUCUUUCUUCCUAAUGUGUAUUCUGAAGAAUGGCAACAAGUGGAAAUAUUCCGGGAUUAAUUCCUAAAAUGGAUCUAAAUAAACCCAGUAAAUAAAAUAAGCCAAUUUUCAUAAAUGAAAUUCAAAGAUCAUUAAAAACACUGAACUCAUGAAUAUGAAACAUAUAUUAAAAAUAUCAUGAUUAAAUAGAGUUAUAUUAGGACUAAAAGGAUGAUCCAAAAUUAGAAAAUUCACUGGUGAAUUCAUCAAAUUAAUAAAGGAAUCAGAUGAAAAAAUGUUUUAUCAUUAAGUUCCUACAUAGAGUAUUUUAAAAAAAUAGAAGACAAUAAAUUAGAAAGAAUUGAUCAUUUGGCAGAAAUAGUAGAGUAAAAACUUAUAGGAAAUAUGGCUUUUAAAAAAAUCAAACAAACAUAGGUUUUGGAAGAAAAAAAGGUAAAACUGUAAUAGCAAUUAUAUUACAUAUAUUUUAAUUUUUCUCAGUUCCUCUCACACAAUGGAUUUAUGUUUCCCUCAUGUUUUCUUGCUGACCUGAUUCCAGACAAAGUGCUUGUUCCAUUACUACCAAUAUUUGUAAUGACUAAAAGUGAAGCCAUGAUAGUAUUGAGAUGUGAACAGGAGCGAAAAAAUAAUUUUCAUUACAACUUCAGGCUUGCCCCUACCCUGAAAUACACACUACCGUACACUUCACAUUCAACACACACCUAAUCUGAGAAAAUAAUUCCUUUUCUUACUUAAGUGAGUGUUUCAAAACAUGGUGAUACUCCUAAUAUCAAUCAAUGUAAAGAAGCAGAAAAAUGUGAUAGAUAGUUGAAUCACUUAUUUUCCAGAAAGACAUUUUUCCCGCAUAGAUUUGUAAUUAGUAAUACAGCAUCGACACUUGAAAUUGAAAACCUUUGAAAUCCCUGGACUUGGCUUUUCUCACCUUAUCAGGAGAAAUCACUAAUCUCUUUGGAAGCAGAAAAAGUUUGAUAGAAAGGUAUAUAAAAGGAGAAUGUAGCAAAACAACUGUUUUAAAGUGAGAAAAUAUAAAACAAUCUAGAGUCUAUUAUGAGCAAACAGCGAAGGAAAUGUAAAAUUGCACUACACACAUUCAGAAAGUGUCUACAUGCAAGAGAGAAGAGAAGUUUUGUCCUAAUUCCUUCCCAAGUCUUCUUGCAUGACUGUACUAAAUGAAUCUGCAAACAGUUCACAUUCCACUUACACUACUAUAUGCAGCAGCCCUAGGGAAAGGGGAUAGGUGGAGCUAAAUGUGACGAUGAAGAAGAAGAAGAAGAAGAAGAAGGAGAAGGAGAAGGAGAAGGAGAAGGAGAAGGAGAAGGAGAAGGAGAAGCAUUUUUAUGUUUGCCCCAUUAGAAACGUUGAUUCCCAAACCCACAUAUUGUCUAGAUUCUUACCCAUCUCUCACCAGACAUGGGUCAGCAUCAGAGAAAAUAAACCAUUACUCUUCAUUUUUGCACACAUAAUAAAAUAUAUCCAGUUCACACUGUGAGGUACAACUAUACAUGAACAUCAGGCUUUCUUAAUGGUAUGCUAGAAAAUGGAGGGCAGGAAUGUGUCUUAUUUAUUUGAUUAUGUAUAGCAAUGCCUUAUAUGCUAAAGUGCACAAAACAUGGUCAAUAUUUGUUAAAGAAUAAAAUUUAAUUGUCUUUGAUUUUAAAAAAGGAGGAAGAAGAAAAGAUGCAUUUUUUUUGCUCUCAAAAUCUAUAGGAGGCUCACUUGAGGCUGCUGUCAGAGGGGUAUGCAUGUAUAAAGGCUAAUAGAGAGUCCUCUGGAGAUAUUAAAACUCUGCAGUACCCCUGAGCAGGUACAGAAUAAAAAAUUCUGAGCCACAAGCAUUGAAGAUGGCAUUUUGACCUUUACAGUCUCACAAUAGUUAUAGAAAAAAGCCAGAUGAACAUUAAAAAAUUAGAUAAAUAAGAUGGUGCACAUCAAUAUGAAAACAUGAUUUAAUCAAAAGUGUACUGUACAGACUUUAAAUGAUCUUAUCCAGGGAGAAGGUCAGUACUUUUUGAGUUCACUUAUGAUUUUUUUGCAG
RNAcentral lists this long non-coding RNA (2877 nucleotides) under Marmota monax (woodchuck). The record is from RNAcentral. Lineage: Eukaryota; Metazoa; Chordata; Mammalia; Rodentia; Sciuridae.